CCAUACAAAACAUUUUAUAUUAAACAUUAAAACUACAUAUUUCAAAUAAUUAAACAUUCAUCACGGAUAAAAAUAAAAAUAAAAAAAAAUCAAUAAAAAUCAAAUGUAAAUCUAGAUCCAAACCAAUGAUCAAAUGAAGAAACCCACAAUAAAAGCCAUAGCAGCGACGAGGAAGCCUUUUCUGCUACUCCACAUCAUCAAGAUUCAAGAACCCCUUCUUCUUUAAUCACAUCGACUUUCUUCCUCCCGCCGCCUUUCCGUCCAUUAGAUCUGGCGUUGUUUAGCUAAAUCUUACGAGAUCCAGGCUUAAGCGAACUAGAAAAUCGGGUAAAUGACGAUUCAUGGGAGUGGCAGCCAACGGAGGGAGUAUACAACAGAGUGAGUAUGUAACUUUUAAUCUAAAAGUUUCAAACUAUUUUGAAUUUUUUUGAAUGAAUUAACUUACAGAUCUGAAACCAUUUUCAAGUAGCCGACCUUAUCUGUGUCAAAGUUCUUUCUGUUGAACGUUUGCCCUUUGCCUGCCUUUGCUUGUUAUGUUGGUCAGUGGUCACGUAAAAUACUACAGAAGCUAGAAGUCAACCUUGCUACAGCUGCUUAGAUCUAAUUAUUACUCCUCCUGAGAGAGAAUUAGUUGUAUUUUUCCUGCUGGUCAUCGAAAGGGCGAGGCUUGUUACCUCUUAAAUUGUUUUUGCGUGCAUUUUUAAUUUAUUUUGUUUGUUUUUGACAAUUUUUUGGUGAAAAAAAGUUGUAGCUGAUGAAGAAAUGACAUAAUCUACCACUGUGUUUAAUGGUUUAAUUUUCUCUCUCCUAAAUUGGUAUUAUUUUUGUUCUCUUGUUUACAAGACUAGAAUUUGGGAGUGAGGUUGAAGAUUUUGAAAAAUGUCAGAAACACUUUGAGUACCAGCCUGAGAUGGAGGCACAGACACGCCGAUUAAAGAAGAAAUAAAAAUGCAAUCUGAUAUUUAAUUGUGAUUUGACUUUUUUAUCCUUGGAUAUUUAAUAAAUGUAAAAUUUAUUUGAAAUAAUAAUUUUUAAUUACACGUGUACAUUGAUUAGCCUAGUCAGUGGGAUCACGUCAUCAAUUUAUGACGUGGCGUGUCCAAUUGAAUGGAAUUAGAAAAAUUGAUAGUUCAAUCAUUUAAUUGACAAAGUUGAAAGGUUGAUCAUCGAAGUGGA
RNAcentral lists this long non-coding RNA (1176 nucleotides) under Panax ginseng (ginseng). RNAcentral's name for it is "long non-coding RNA (PGIN_LNC017765)". Lineage: Eukaryota; Viridiplantae; Streptophyta; Magnoliopsida; Apiales; Araliaceae. The record is from RNAcentral.